Non-coding RNA from Anaerostipes sp. CAG:276, 88 nucleotides. Lineage: Bacteria; Bacillati; Bacillota; Clostridia; Lachnospirales; Lachnospiraceae. The record is from Rfam.
UUACAUAUUCAGUAAAACUGUCAAAAGGCAGUGGCACAAAGCCAAGGGUCUAAGAUCUGAUUACAGAUUAUGACAGCCGGUUGCCGUA